UAAACCAAAACAAAUGAUUUCGACUCAUUAGAUUAUGAAUAAUAACAUAAUUAUCNN
RNAcentral lists this transfer RNA (57 nucleotides) under Ursus spelaeus (cave bear). RNAcentral describes it as "tRNA-Arg". Lineage: Eukaryota; Metazoa; Chordata; Mammalia; Carnivora; Ursidae. The record is from RNAcentral.